This 253-nucleotide ribosomal RNA is filed under the name uncultured bacterium. RNAcentral describes it as "partial 16S ribosomal RNA". It matches the Rfam family "Bacterial small subunit ribosomal RNA", at positions 524 to 776 of the family's 1533-position model. The record is from RNAcentral.
UACGUAGGGGGCUAGCGUUGUCCGGAAUCAUUGGGCGUAAAGAGCGUGUAGGCGGUCCGGUAAGUCCGCUGUGAAAGUCGGGGGCUCAACCCUCGAAUGCCGGUGGAUACUGUCGGGCUAGAGUGCGGAAGAGGCGAGUGGAAUUCCUGGUGUAGCGGUGAAAUGCGCAGAUAUCAGGAGGAACACCUGUGGCGAAAGCGGCUCUCUGGGACGGUACUGACGCUGAGACGCGAAAGCGUGGGGAGCAAACAGG